Molecule: unclassified non-coding RNA, 291 nt
Organism: Dipodomys ordii (Ord's kangaroo rat)
Lineage: Eukaryota; Metazoa; Chordata; Mammalia; Rodentia; Heteromyidae
Rfam family: Metazoan signal recognition particle RNA
About the family: The signal recognition particle (SRP) is a universally conserved ribonucleoprotein.
Source: Ensembl
GCUGGGCAUGGUGGCGCAUGCCUGUAAUCCCAGCUACUCAGAAGGCUGAGCCUAGAGGAUCCCUUGAGUCCAGGAGUUUUGGGCUGCAGUGUGCUAUGCUGAUCCGGUGUCUGUACUUAGUUCAGUGUCACUAUGGUGACCUCCCAGGAGCAGGGGAACACCAGGUUACCUAAGGAGGGGUGAACUGGCCCAGGUCAGAAACCGAGCAAGUCAAGAAUUACAGGAAUGAGAGUUCGGAGAAACCCUAGGUCUCCUUGGCACAGGCCGAAAUUUUCUUAAAAGAGACCCAGA